This 494-nucleotide ribosomal RNA is filed under the name uncultured bacterium. Its description in RNAcentral is "partial 16S ribosomal RNA". It matches the Rfam family "Bacterial small subunit ribosomal RNA", at positions 28 to 507 of the family's 1533-position model. The record is from RNAcentral.
GACGAACGCUGGCGGCGUGCUUAACACAUGCAAGUCGAACGGAAAGGCCUGCUUUCCCUUGUGGAUUGCGGGUACUCGAGUGGCGAACGGGUGAGUAACACGUGAGUGAUCUGCCCCCAACUUGGGUAUAAGCCUGGGAAACUGGGUCUAAUUCCCGAUAGGACUGCAGGGUGGUGCCUGUGGUGGAAAACGAUUUUCUAGUGGUUGGGGAUGAGCUCGCGGCCUAUCAGCUUGUUGGUGGGGUAAUGUCCUACCAAGGCGGCGACGGGUAGCCGGCCUGAGAGGGUGGACGGCGCAAUUGGGACAGAGAUACGACCCAGACUCGUGCGGGAGGCAGGAGUGGGGAAGCUAGGGGCGUGGGCGGAAGGGUGAUGCAGCGAGGCAGCGUGGGGGAUGACGGCAUUCGGGUUGUAAGCUACUUUCGACCGAGAGGAAGCCAACUGGUUGGACGCGUGGUGACGGUAGUGGUAGAAGAAGCACCGGCUAACUACGUG